Long non-coding RNA from Pteropus alecto (black flying fox), 332 nucleotides. RefSeq lists it as uncharacterized. The record is from RefSeq and is a predicted model, not a curated record. NCBI's taxonomy places the organism in Eukaryota, Metazoa, Chordata, Mammalia, Chiroptera, Pteropodidae. The transcript has 3 exons.
CCUCGGGAAAGGAAACUCUGGACGUCUGCGCCAGGUUCCGGCUGCAGGGGACCGCGCACUCGUAGCACCACGCAGGCGCCACGCUACAGCUGCCGGCGCCGCAUGGGCCACAGGGAUGCCAGGGAUGUGAGGGCUUGGCCUCCCCUUCACUUGGGGAAAUUUGCCCUGUCCGGCACCAGGAUGAACAAUCUUCUUUAGCCUGUGGUGUCUGUGAAUCUGAAGAGAAUGCUGGGGGCGAUCACAUGGAAAAAUAUGUUCCAGUGUUGACUCCUGAACCCCUGCUAAGAUAUUCGAGGAAAGAAGAUUCCUCCUCUCCUGUCUCAGCUGGAGCC